Vicia villosa (hairy vetch) is the source of this 1135-nucleotide long non-coding RNA. RefSeq lists it as uncharacterized. NCBI's taxonomy places the organism in Eukaryota, Viridiplantae, Streptophyta, Magnoliopsida, Fabales, Fabaceae. The record is from RefSeq and is a predicted model, not a curated record. The transcript is spliced from 3 exons.
CUUCUGCAUUCUCUCUCUCUAACUACUAGAUUUUUGUUAAAAUUUGGGUUUUAUUUUUAUGUUUCAGAUCUGAUAAAUCAUUGAUUUUUUAGAUUUGUGAAAAGUAUCAGUGAUGUUUUUUAGAUUUGUGAUGUCAAAGAAGAUCCAUUUGGUUUUUAGCUUCAUGGUUUUCUUAUUUUCCAGGUUCUUCAGGUUUAAUCUAUGGGUUUCUAGCUUCCUUCUUCAUCAACAAUAACCAAUGAUUUGUUGGUAAAUUAGAAAGCUUUGGCAGCAUGUGAGGAAAAGUUAAAUGAGAUCACAGACCUUACAAAUGAAACAGGGGAAGCCAUCUUUUGACAUAACAUAGUACUUGGAUUUCAUGUCAAAGGGAGGCGUGGUAAUUGACAAAUAAAUCUUUGAUUAAGGUUUCUUUUUGUUCUUUUUCGUAAUUGUUAUAGAAUAUUAAUUUGAAGAAUUCAAAUGAAGAUAUUGUUAACCGUGGUAAGAUUUUUUUUUAUCUUCAUGGGAUUUUGUUAUAAAUUAUUUUUGAGUUUUUGAUUUGACAUUUUUGUAGAUAUUGUGUUUAUGCUAGAACAACUGUUAUCUACUUCUUGCUUAUGUAAUUUGAUGCUUUUCUAGAUUAUCUUUGUUGAUGUUACAGGUGAAGGUGAACGCAUGGUCCGGGACAUCUUAUACGAAGCUCAUUGCUUGGAGCAUUUUUAGCUCAUUCGUAUUUGGGAAGAUACUGGACAAUUUCCUGUUUCUCAUGUAUCUAUAUGUCAUUGAUUGAAGCCACCAUGUGAUGCUGAUGGUUACCAUCCGACAUCAGGACAUGUGUGUCAUCUUUUGGUACUGACCAGUUUUUAAGAAACGACGAGGUUGAGAACUACUACACUUUCAAUACAGAAGAAUCCGCAAGGGGAGUUUGCUUCGUGGAGUAUCAGCUGAAUUGAAGUCCAACUCCCGGUUGGUAAUCGAAUUGCAGUGUGAUUCCCUGGGAGAAAACAAUACUGCAUCACAUAAAAAUACAAGUGACAUGUCUUUAUUCAGCUAAUUUAUAUCCAGCAUAUUUUUCUAAUUUUGACUACAAUUGCUAUUUAAAUGCGGAAUUAAUUAUAUGUUACAUGGGUUUAGCAGUUUAUCAAUUUCGAUGGGC